RNAcentral lists this long non-coding RNA (9502 nucleotides) under Gossypium barbadense (sea-island cotton). Its description in RNAcentral is "long non-coding RNA (GBAR_LNC000879)". Lineage: Eukaryota; Viridiplantae; Streptophyta; Magnoliopsida; Malvales; Malvaceae. The record is from RNAcentral.
AAAGUUAGGUGAAAUUCAAAAUGAUUUGAAAUAUUUUACUAUAAUUAUUUAGAUUUUUUUUUUAAAUUAUCAUACUCGUAUUUUAUUCAUAAAAAUUAGUAAACACAAUUUAAGAUCACACAGACAGACCCACAAUAAAAAAUACAACGGAGCCCAAAAAAGUUAAUUUGACCAUACGGGUUAAACAAAGCCAACCAACAAAAUAACCUAGAUACAAAAAUAAAACAGAAAAAUAGAUAAAAAAAAUCAUAGUUUGAUCAUUAUUCAUUUCGACGGUUCAAGUCCCUAGGAAACAAUUUCCAAAAACCAUUAAACCAUCAUAUGUUUCCUCUUUCUUUUCCCAACCCGAGAUGCAUCCAACAGUCAAGCUUCAAUCUGGUUCUCUUCCCUUUCGCGAUCCAACCUUCGAUGCGUCGUGCUCAAGCAGUCCUCCAAUAAGGUAAGUCUGUAACCCAUCUCUCAUAGCUUCCCUGGCAAGUUCGUGUGCCAUUAAAUUCACAGAUCUUGGAAUGUGAUUAAAUAAUAUAUGAUGAAAGAACCUUUUAUGAUGUAUGUUUCUUAUCAAAGCCUUUAUAAUCGACCUAUCCACUAGAUCUGAAUUGCUUUUCUUUAAGAUUGAUGCCAAAUCCCCUUCUAUUAUUAUUGAUGCAUAUCCUAUCUGUUUCCCCAAUAAUACUGCUUGGAGACACAGUGGGCCUCUACUACGAACGGAGAAGCAACCUCCUCGUGAGCCACUGUUUUAGAUACAAGAAUCUCUCUAGAAGCAUUUUUUGCCACCACCCCUGAAAUCGAUUUGGCCUGUGACAUAUCAAAUGCCGUGUCGAAGUUCAUUUUAAUAUUUGGCCCAUUCGAGGGGCACCAUUCCAUAUUCACACUUUCCCUGGUUAGUUUUUUAAUCUCACACUCAUCCGUUUCCUUUACAUAACUUAUGGCCCAUGCCUCAAUACCAUAACCCAUGCUCCUCUUCCCUUCAUGUAACCAUUUAUUUCUAUCGGUCCAAAUCGCCUAUAAGGAGUAGCAAAAUAUUUGGCAUUGCAAACCAGUACUACUAUUGAACACCCAAGUAAGCCACUCCCUACUAUCCAAGUCUGUUUCUUUCAAUGCCCAAUCAAGACUUAAACUUACCCAAACUUCUAAUUGUUACAUAACACUCUCGGAAAAUGAGAUCAACGUUCUUAACAACCCCUCCACAUUUGGGGCACGCUACCUCCGCCACCAAUCUUUUUAAGCACAAAUUAGCUAGAUUAGGGAUGAAGUUCCAGGAAAUUUUCCAGAUUAAAAUUUUAAUUUUUGCUAGGAUAUAAAUGUUCCAUAGUUUUUUUGUAAAAAAUUUUCAGCUCGGUCUAUAUAUAACUAGGACUAGAAUUACCUUCAUGUAAUAGUUCGUUGGCGCUUCGCAUGGAAAACUCCCUUAAAGGCUCCUCUCUCCAAACCAUCAUAUCAUCAUGGGCUUCCACUGCUAAGGGGAUUUUUAAUAUUCUAACUGCAUCAUCUCUUGAAAAGGUAGAAUUAAUAAGCUUAAUUUUCCAUUCUCUUGAUUGCGCAUCAAUUAAGUCUGAAACCAUAUUGACCUUCUCAUUGUUAAUGUUUGACAACACUUUAUAACAUGCAGCCCUUGGAAGCCACGCAUCAGCCAUAAUUGAAAAAUUCUCCUUGGUUCCUAUCCUCCAACACAUUCCGUCAUGCAGCAAACCCUUACCUGCCCACACAAUCUUCCAGGUAUAAGAAGUUAGAUUCCCUAACUCAGCAUUUAAAAAAUAGUAUUCGGGAAAUACUUAGCUUUUAGAACACGGGAUAAUAAUGAAUUUGGAUAAUUUAUAAUGUGCCAUCCCUAUUUUACUAAUAAUAACAUUGAACUUGGUCAAACUACGAAAUCCCAAUUGUCUAUUCUCCUUUAAUUCGCAUAGUCAGUCCUAUCCACACCAAUGGCUCCCUCUUCUCUUAUGACUUUUAUGCCACUAAAAUCAAGCCAUUAUACUUUCUAAUUCGCAACAAAAGGACUUUGGGAGUAAGAAACAUGCCAAAGAAUAAGUAGGGAUAGCCUGCAAGAUUGCUUUUAUAAAAACCUUAUUUCCCCUUUGCGAUAGAAAUCUCACACUUCAAUUUUGCCUCAUGCAAUCCUUUAAAAUCUAAAAAGAAGCUUCUUUUUUUUUUUAAUUUUUCCCUACCACAUUUGGCAAUCCUAGAUAUUGCUUAAUAUUAUUCAAAUUGCUUACCCCAAGGAUGUCAGAUACAACACGUCUAAUCCUUUCAGAAGUAUUUGUACUAUAAAAACAGUGAAUUUGUCAUAAUUCACACAUUGCCUAGAACAUCUCUUGUAUUCCCUCAAAAUUGACUUUAAAAUUUUCGCUUCCCCUUCACUUGCUUCACCAAAUAGAAUACAAUCAUCGGCAAAUAGUAAAUGCGAAAUUGGAGGGCCCCCUCUAUUACUUUGGCACCUUUGAUCAAACCAUCCCUCAAUGCUAGACUUAUAAGUGACGAGAGAUCCUCACUAAAAAUAAAAAACCAGAAAAGGACUCAAUGGAUCCCUUUGUCAAAGCCUUAUUUUUGGUUUAAAAAUUGCCCCUGCUUUCUCAUUCACGAUUACUGAGUAUGAGAUAGUUGAGAUGCAUUUCAUCAUAUUCUCUACCCACGAAGUAUGAAAUCCCAUUCGUAGCAUUAUUACCCUUAGGAAAGACCAUUCAACUUUAUCGUAAGCUUUACUUAUAUCCAAAUUUAGCGUUAUGAACCUUUUCUUCUCUAUUCUCUUUUGUUGAAAAGUAUGCAAAAUCUCAUAAGCAAGUAGAACAUUAUCUGAAAUUAGUUUACCUGGCACAAAGGCUCUUUAAGCGCUAUCAAUGCAAGCUUCUAAUAUGUGUUUAAAUUGGUUAACAAUCAUCUCUAUUACCAUUUUAUACAGAACAUUGCAUAAACUAAUUGGUCUAAAAUUCCCUAAGUUCGUCGGAUGAGAAACUUUAGGAAUUAACACAAUAUUAGUAACUUUAAAAGAUUCCAUAGGCAUGCUUUUUUUUAAAACGCCCAAACAGAAGUCAACUACGUCACUCCUCACAAUAUGCUAGAACUGUUGAAAAAAAGCCGAAAAUCCAUCAUUUCCAAAUGCCUUUAUUUGACCUAUUUCCUUCAAAGCCAUCAUGACCUCCUCAUUCAUAUAUUUCGCAAUUAACUUUGAAUUUACCUCCUCUGAGACGCAUCUCUUAAUUCCAAAAAGGGUAUGAUCAGUAUUCCCAAACUCCUUUGACAAGAAAAGAUUUUGAAAAUAGUUUCAAGCAAUGUUCUCUAUUUCACCCUCAUCACUAGUCUUUUUCUCAUCUUCAUGCCUUAAACUCUGAAUAGUAUUCCUUAUUUCCCUCUGUGAGGCGUAACUAUGGAAAAAAUUUGUAUUUUUGUCUCCCAACUUCAACCAAUAAGCACGAGCCCUUAUCUCUCAAUACAUCUCAUCCUUAUCAAUCUCGAGCUUUAGAUGGAUUUUUAUAUCAAUUAAUUCUACUAAAUUCUCAUCAAUUCUUUCACUUUCUAUCAGAACCUCUAAUUUUUCCUUUAAAUUCUUCUUUUGACUUACCCUUUUGUAUUUAACCGAGGCCGCCCAUCAUACUAAACCAUGUUGUAACUUAUUCAAUUUCUCCAAGAUGUUGUCUUUGGUGGACUGCCAAAAACUUCUUACCUUUUACUCAAAAGAAUCCUCCUUCACCCACCAUGCCUUAAAAUAGGCUUUCCUUCUAGACAACUUAUUCAAUCUUAUGUCUAUUUGAAUAAGGAAAGGGCAAUGAUCUGAAAAAGAGCGCGGCAAAUGUAACAUCUCGAUUUUGGGCUUAGUCGGAAUACUGGUUACGGGACCACAAAUUCGAUGAGAAAAAUUUUAUUUUUAUUAUAUUUUUAUGGUCUACGAUUUCACAGAAUGAUUUCGUGAAAAUUUUGUUCGAAAAUUUCGACAUUUGGGCACUCAAUUUAGUAAAAAAGGACUAAAUUGUAAAAAGUGCAAAAGUUGAGUUUUAUAUGUUAGAGGUGUCUAAUAGUAAUGAAAUUUUACAUGGGAGGUCCUUAAAUGAUAAUUAAACCAUUGUAUAACUUGUUGGACAAAAAUGGCCUUGGUUGGGUAAAUUUUGAAAGAAUAGUAAAAAGGGCAUUUUGGUCAUUUAAGGGUAAAAUAAAUUAAAAGACAAAUUUUAAACCCCAAAUGUGUCCCUUUCUUCUUGCUACAGCAGAAUGUACCAAGAGCAGCCAUGGUUAGGGUUUGGCCAAGCUUCCAAGCUUAAUAAUCAAGGAAAUUAAGAUUUGGGCUUAAAUUAAGAAAAUACAAGGUUAUGGACUAGAAUGGUAAAUUUCCAUUUCUGGAUCCGAGGUAAGUUCGUACGAUUAAAUUAUUAAAUUUCAAUAUCAUUUUAUAAAUAGUGAUUAAUAUUUAUGUAUGUUAAUUGUUGAAAAUAAAUAAAUUAUGUACAAAAGUUAUGAAAUUAAACUGAGUAUUUCAGAGGAACGAAACGCAGGAAAUGAGUACGAUCGUUCAGUGAAAAAGAUGAAUUGACGGUAAAUUAGCCAAGUAAAUCGAGAUUCAACAUUUGUUGCGAAUUCUCGUGUUUGCUUUCUGUUUAGCUCUUAUGAGCUUCCAUUAACUCAUAUGAGUUUCAGUUAACCCUUUUGGGGUUUCAGUUCACCUCUGAUGAGCUUCAGUUAGCCUUCAGGCUUCUGUUUAGCACUUGUGUGCUUCAGUUAGCCUUCGGGCUUCCGUUUAGCACUUGUGUGCUUCAAUUAGCCUUCGGGCUUCCGUUCAGCACUUAUGUGCUUCAGCUAGACUUCGGGCUUCAAAUCAUGAUGUACUCAAAUCCGUAAGUCGUUCCUUGAAUGGACAAGUUGGUAAGUCGUAAAUGUAACGUGUGGAAAAAGAAAUGUAAGUAAUAUUAUCAUUAUUAUUAUUGAGCUCCAUUGUGAAAAAUGAGUAAGGGAUCCAUGAAAUGGUAAGUUCAUGAUAGUUGGAAAUGAUCUUAUGAUAAUGAUCAUUAUAUUGUACCAAAACAGAUUUGGACAGCAGCAUUGGUCCGACUUUGAAAAUGAACUAAAAAUAGUGGAAAUUGAGUUAGAAGCUUAAUAAAAUAUGAAAUUAAAGCUUAAUGAGCCUAGUUUCACAUAAAGGAAACGGUGAAAGCAAAAGAAUUCUAUAUUAUGAUAUCUUAAUUUGAAGUUCCAUAGCUCCAAAUAUAAAUGAUUUAGUGACUAUGACUCAAGAAAACAACUUAACCAGAACAUGUGUAAAUGUGCAAUUGGGAUAGUUUUACUAUGAAAAGCAUGUUAGUAAAUUGUUUAUUAUUUUCAUGCGAGCUUAGUAAGUGUAAAACUUACCCCCUCCUUUCUAUUUCUUUUAGUGACAUCAGGUUAGCUCGGGGUUGGAAAUCGUCGGAGGCAGCAUCACACUAUCAAGCCAACACCUUGAGAGUAUAAACAAAUAUGGUAGAAUUAUCAAGUGAGUGGUAUGUAUAGGGACCUAGUUUUAUAACAUGUGUUAUUAUAAUUUGGCCAAAUAUAUUGGUCAUUAGUGAGCUAAUGAUUCUGACUUAUAAAUCUAGCUAUUCAUGUUAUGUCUGAUAUUGGUGAUGUGCAUAUGCUUGUUUGCCAUGCAUGGUUGGUAAUAUGUUAUGUGUUGUUAUGAGAAUGCCAUGCUUGUGUCUUGAUUGUAGAUAUAUAUAUAAUUACUCAAACAUGCCAUGUCAAUUGCUAUGAAAUGUAUAAGUGUAUGUAGGUAAUUAAGGGUGACUAUUGGCUUGAAAAAUAACCUUGAAAUUGUCCACACGGAUAGAUACACGAGCGUGUGUCUAGGCUGUGUGUGACACACAGCUUAAGCACACGGGCAUGUGCCUUGGCUGUGUGACCCUUACUUGUUCAUAACCAAAUGGACAUAGAGCUUCAUAGGCACAGGACACGGGCGUGUCCUAAGCCACAUGGACGUGUGUGACCACACGGCCUAAUUCACACAAGCGUGUGACUCUCCGAAGCAAGAAAAUUUAGUUAAGUUGCCCAAAGAUUUUCAAAGUUCUUGGUUUAGUCCCGAACCACCUCAAUGUAUAUUAUAAGUUUCAAAGACCUAUAUAAGGGACGAUAUGCAUGUGUUCGAGAUGUUUUAAUUUUUUGUGAUAAUUUUGUGGCCCGGUUUUGCAUGUUGUGAAUGUUUAAGUCUGGUAACGCCUCGAACCCUAUCCUGACGUUGGAUACGGGUAAGGGGUGUUACAGCAAAUGUUGGAUCACUGUAGAUGAAAACAAAUUAAAUAUUUUCCACUCCUUUAUCUAACCUUUCUCGAAUGUUAGUUUCUGGCAAAUUCCCUUUUUCCAAGUAAACCAAGUUUCCGAGCACCCCACAUCCAUUAACUGGCAAUCCGCUAAAACAUCCCUAAAAGCCGCCGUUCUCCUCUCAUCCCUUGGUACCCCUCCCACCUUCUCAAAAGAGUAAAAAAUUUCGUUAAAAUCUCCACAUACCAUCCAAGGUAAACCCUAGAGCAACUUAAAUUUCUCAGCAAGUUCUAAGAAACCUCUCUAUUAUGCUCAUAUGGUGAGCCAUAGAAUCCAGUAAACUUCCAUUACUUUUUUCCAUACCUUUCUUGUCAUUCAAUAUCUAUGUGAGAGUCUGAAUAACUUUUUAGACUAACUAUAGCAUUUUUUUUUCCAUGCUAGACACAAUCUACCUCUUGAACCAAUCGAUGCGAUGUCAAUCCAAUUUAAAAAUCCGCAUAUCCUUCUUACACACUCUGUUCAUGCACUCUUAAUCUUAGUCUCCAUGAAGAAGACCACCUGCGUAUUAUACAUCUUCAGCAAAUACUGAAGCCUUUUGAUAGGCCGUGAACUCUCUAAUUCAUGAACAUUCCAACUUACUAUUUUCAUUGUGAUCGAUCGGCUUGCCCCUUGGCAGCCGUUGAUAAAAAGUGGUUUUUUCCCAACACUCUCCUAUUUCUAAUAACUAAAGAUCCCAUCUUCUCCCCCUCCAUAGAUUUAUCACCCUCCUUUCUAGGCCUCUUCUUCCUAUCUCCCCCUUCAAUCACACAUUCUUUCGCAUCAUGGUCCAUAUACGCUUGUUCUUGUGUUUUCAAAGACCUCACAUCCAAACCAAAUAACCGAUUUAGAUCCCCUCCAAAUUUACACCCAAGAUGGGAUCGAUAAAACUCUCAAAACCUCUUCUAUCCGCAUUAUAACAGCCCAUUUUCAGUGAUAUCAGAAUAGUGGUUUCAAGACCAUAAUUUUGACGAGUAAAUUAUUAUUUUAUUAUUUUAAUUAAUGUCUAUGGGAGUAUAUUAAAUUCGUAUUAAAUGUUAAUAAAAUUUGAUGUUUGCAUGAUUAAUUAAGUAAAAAGGACUAGAUCGUAAAAGGUAAAAAAGUUGAGUUCUAUUAGUUAAAAAGGCUAAAUGGUUUUAGAAAGGGAAGUAAAUGGAAUUGAAUGGUAAUUAUACCAUAUAUAUUUAUAGUGGAUGUUUAUGGCGUGGUUUAAGUGAAAUUUUGUUAGUUUUUAAAGGUUAAUGUGGUAAAUAAGUAAAUAAACUUAAAAACAAAAGAAAAGAAAUAUGUAUCAUCUUAUUUUCUUCUUCCUUAACCGAUUUUAAGAGAAAUAAAUCUCUAUUUUUGGUAGCUUGGUUCGAAUAAGCAUAAACUGGUGCAUGGUAAGUGUUUUUCAUUUCGUUUUUAAUGAUCUAUAUGUUUUUGAGAUCGUUUUAGCUUAAUCUAGCUAGCCCAGGAGUUAAUUUGUAAAAUUUUUAAAGGUUUAGGGUUAUUACAUAGAUGUUUUUAAGUAGGUUUUGAUUUUAAAUGAUAGAUUAUGAAUCUUGGUUGAAAUAUGAAUAAGUUUUGUAAAGUGAUUUUUGAUGAAAUUGCAUUUAAAGAUUAGUUUGUGAAAAUAGUAAAAUUUAACGUUAAAUUUAUGAAAUGAUAGUUUAAUUGAGUUGUUAUGAGUCCUUAAAUAAUUUUGUUAGCUUAUAAGGGGGAUUCAAAUGGUUAGAUUUCAAAUUACGAGCUUAAGGACUAAAUUGUGAAAAAGUUAAAAUAUUAGGGGUAAAUUGGUAAAUUUACAUAAAUGUGAGUUAUGAAUUGAAUUGAAUGUUUGAGGCUAAUUGAAGUACUUAAUUGAAUAUAAUUAUCUAUUUAGAUUAAGAUAAACCUUAACCGGACCUAAAUCAAGGAAAGGCAAAAGCUUUGGAUUAGUUUGACCUAACUUCUACGCCUCUUGUCAUCGAGGUAAGUUCGUAUGAACAGUUAUCAUAUUUAUGUUUAUGUUAUUUGAACUGAAUUUUUAUUAUGUUAUUUAUAAUGUAAAUGGAUCGAUAUAUAAAUGUAUCAAUGUUGUGAGGAAUUAACGGAUAUGGAGUCCCGGUUGAACCUUAGGAAUUCGUAGGAUACGAAUGACAUGUCAUUAGGGAUUUCAUGUUUCGAGUGCUGGUCUUGAAUUUCCUACCAAUGGAUGCGGUCCUACAUUUUUUGCGGGGUCUCCACAGCUCGUGUGAGUAGCAUCGUGUAGCUUAUAUUUCGACCCACAGCUCGUGUGAGCAAGCCUAUUUCAUAGCUCGUGUGAGUAAUGAUGUAAAUGAAAUGUUAUGGUUAUAUAUAAAGGCACACUUCGUGUGAGCUUUCCUGAGUAUCCGAUGAAAUUUUAGAUGGUUCAACAGGCAUGAAAAAGGAAUGGAAAAGUAAGUAUGCAAUUAAAUUGAAUCAAGACUUAUUGAAUGGAAAUAUGAACUACAUGAUGCUGUACAUAUGGUUGAUUUCAUUAUAUCAUGGAAAAACUUACUAACUUAUGAGUUGAUGAUGUUGGUUAAACAUUUCUAAGCUUGUGGCAUUGGUGUUGAAUUUUAUUUUAAACUAUGAUAUGUAUUAUGGAAAUGGUAAGUUGUGUUUAUGUUGAUGCGAGCUUAUUAAGCAUUGUUGCUUAUGAAGUUUCUUUCCUUUGUUUUAUAGAUUAUCAGAAGCUCGAUUUGGUUGGAAGCUCAUCGAAGAUCUAUCACACUAUCCAAAAAUCUUUUCAGUAGUUUUUGAGUAUUUUGGCCAAGGAUUAUAAUGGCAUGUAUAACAGGGGUUGCACGGGUGAGAACGUAGACUGGGACAGACCGUAUGUCCCUAGUUCGAAGGUUACACUAGAGUCACACGGGUGAGGACAUAGACUGGGACAGACCGUAUGUCCCUAGUUCGAAGGUUACACUGCCUAAGACACGGCCAUGUGUCUCAACCAUGUGAGACACACGAUCGUGUGACCCCUAUUUUGCAAAUUUUGCAUCUUUUUCCUAAACUUUUCAAAUUGUUUCAAAUUGGUCCCAAAUUAUUUCUAAGUUAUUUUUACGGCCCCAAGGCUCGAUUUAGGGAUAAUAUGGAUGUGUAUGAAUGAUUUAUGAUGUGAUUAUAAUAUUGAAUGAUAUAAUAUUUAAAUGUUUUAGAUUGUACAGUAAUACUUUGUAACCUUAAUCCGGUGACGGAGACUGGUUAGGGGUAUUACACGCAUCCUCCUAAUUGUGUCUACCCAAGUCAUGCCCUUCAAAAGAAC